AAAUGUCCUCUAUUAAGAGUUAAUCCAUGUGAGUGGAUGCUAGACAAAGAGUGGGGGAGUCCAAGGGGCUGCGCUCCUCAGUCUUACUUCAUACCUGCACCAUGG
Molecule: small nucleolar RNA, 105 nt
Organism: Rattus rattus (black rat)
Lineage: Eukaryota; Metazoa; Chordata; Mammalia; Rodentia; Muridae
Product: small nucleolar RNA SNORA14
Exons: 1
Source: RefSeq, a predicted model, not a curated record